This 253-nucleotide ribosomal RNA is filed under the name uncultured bacterium. Its description in RNAcentral is "partial 16S ribosomal RNA". It matches the Rfam family "Bacterial small subunit ribosomal RNA", at positions 524 to 776 of the family's 1533-position model. The record is from RNAcentral.
UACGUAGGGAGCAAGCGUUAAUCGGAAUUACUGGGCGUAAAGCGUGCGCAGGCGGUGAUGUAAGACAGUUGUGAAAUCCCCGGGCUCAACCUGGGAACUGCAUCUGUGACUGCAUCGCUGGAGUGCGGCAGAGGGGGAUGGAAUUCCGCGUGUAGCAGUGAAAUGCGUAGAUAUGCGGAGGAACACCGAUGGCGAAGGCAAUCCCCUGGGCCUGCACUGACGCUCAUGCACGAAAGCGUGGGGAGCAAACAGG